CCCGGUUUAGUGUUUGGAAAAAUGAGCUAGGGUUUGGAUCUAUGAAAAUUGGGGUGAAACAAAAUCAAGUGAGACUUGCAAAGUUGCCCUGGUCAUGGGAUUAUGAAUUGAUGAAAAAUUUGUGUGAGACUCACAAAGUUGCCCCAGUUUUCUUUGGCCUGGGGUUCUAUUUGGAAGAGGUAGUGGCAUGACAAGGAUCGGCCAAAAGGAUGGUCCCAACUGGUUUGAUUUUCUUUUGCAUGCUUCUGGCUAGGUUACAGGGAGAUCCCCUCUUCUUGAGACAUUACCUUUUUCUUUUUUUUUUUAUAUUCAUUCGUUUUCAACUUUUUUUCUUUUUUUUUUCUUUACGACAUAUUGAAAGUCAUUUUGUCUUAUCGCAAAAUUAAGCUUUAUAAAAAUUUGAGCAAUCAUUAUUCAAUCUGUGUGGACUUUAUUAGGCUUGUAAUGUGGCUAGGGGCUAAAAGGUAUUUUAAAACAGGAUAUAAAGGCCCAAAUGAAUGUUUGUUGGUUAUAUUUGUUUGAAACAAGGGUUAUCAUCUAGGCAUUGUUUCAACUAAUUGACUUUUUGAGCACUUUGCUUUAGCCUUGAACUUUGGUUUUCAUUUUUUUUCAUCAUCACUUUGUGAUUUUUUUUGUUUUGUUUUUUUUUUUUGUUCAUUCUUCUUGAUGAGUUCUCUCCGUUUGAUCAUUGAGUGCUUUUCAUUUGCAUCAAGGGUUGACUCCUACCUGAUGAUAACCUUUGCUCUGGGAUAACUUUGAAAAAAAUUUUAUUUUAGGCUCAAACGGGGUGACAAUGGAUAUAAUUUUUGCUUUUUAGAUAAAGAAAGAAGGUCACACAUCAUUUCAAAUUUUGAUUGCUUUAUUUUCAAAAGAUUAGUUCUACGACUAGACGACCUCAACAUAAGUCGUUUUUUUUCUCCCUUUCUAAACCACCCUUUCGGGUUUUCAAUCUAGUGGACUUAUUCUUUUUUUGAAAGUUC
RNAcentral lists this long non-coding RNA (980 nucleotides) under Vigna radiata. RNAcentral's name for it is "long non-coding RNA (VRAD_LNC010414)". Lineage: Eukaryota; Viridiplantae; Streptophyta; Magnoliopsida; Fabales; Fabaceae. The record is from RNAcentral.